GAAGCUGUUCUUUUUGUCAUUCUCAAGUUGAGGAUUUGGAUCAUCUCGUUUUACAUUGUUCUGAUACGUGGACCAAUGGUUCACACGAUAUUAAAUUAUUUUUUUGAAGAGGUGAGUGCACCACAAUAGCUUGCUAUUGGGGUUUACGCGUGUCAUCAUUGCGUUGCACUACAGCAAGGUUUUGGCGCACCCUAC
Molecule: small nuclear RNA, 195 nt
Organism: Rosa rugosa (rugosa rose)
Lineage: Eukaryota; Viridiplantae; Streptophyta; Magnoliopsida; Rosales; Rosaceae
Product: U2 spliceosomal RNA
Exons: 1
Source: RefSeq, a predicted model, not a curated record